Molecule: ribosomal RNA, 301 nt
Filed under: uncultured bacterium
Lineage: Bacteria
Description: partial 16S ribosomal RNA
Rfam family: Bacterial small subunit ribosomal RNA
Source: RNAcentral
CAGCCGCCGCGGGAAUACGUAGGUGGCAAGCGUUGUCCGGAAUUAUUGGGCGUAAAGGGCUCGCAGGCGGUUUCUUAAGUUUGAUGUGAAAGCCCCCGGCUCAACCGGGGAGGGUCAUUGGAAACUGGGAAACUUGAGUGCAGAAGAGGAGAGUGGAAUUCCACGUGUAGCGGUGAAAUGCGUAGAGAUGUGGAGGAACACCAGUGGCGAAGGCGACUCUCUGGUCUGUAACUGACGCUGAGGAGCGAAAGCGUGGGGAGCGAACAGGAUUAGAUACCCCUGUAGUCCCUGUCUCUUAUAC